CCCAGAUGAAGAGCUCUGAGCAUUUUCAAAUUAGUUAUUGUACGCCCUCCAAUAGCUGAAAUAAUGUGCAAUUUACUGUCAGAGCUCUAAAGAUUUUAGGAUCUUUAGACACUAAUCCCUUCCCUCAAUCAUAGAAAUUGGAACAUGAUUCUCAUCUUUGAAGGCUUUGGCCAGCUUUUCUCUUUUCUUGCUACGCUCGUUAGAAUUUUGUCUCUGACAUUUUGAGACAGUUUUUGAAAGAUCAUUUCCAAGUUAUUUCAAAUUACUUUCAUUCUUAUUUUGAUGUCCUUUAAUUUAUCAUAUAAUCAGGAGUUGAGGCUCACUGGUGCCCUUGGACAGGAUAGUUUUAAAUCUACUUUACCUCCCAGUCAAUAUAUUCUUUAUUAAAAGGCUUAAAAGGAUUUAAAAAGGCCAUUAAAAUGUGUAAGCCUCUGUCUCAUUUUGGAAUAUUGUUUCCGUUGUUUUGUCCACAUGGAAUAUUCAAUGUGUCCAAGAGAAACGAUAAGAAAAAUAAUUCAUUUUGUGUUACUUAAAAUGGGACGUGGGAGGUCAAAAGUGACCCUGUUUGGGUUCCUUUGCCUUUAACCCCGUAUCUUUUCUUCUACCCUUUUUUGUUUUUUUUAAAAGGCACAUUUCAAAUAAACAUACAACUUUGAAGAUUCCUGGGUCAAAAAAUACUACUCUGUCACUGUAUCUUCUUACGAUUUAAUUUCUGAGACAAUAAAAAUUCCAGCCUAGUUCGAUGUCGGUUUUGUAAUGGAGAGUCACAGAAGAUGUCUCAGAACUUUCCUUGGAAACUUUCUUCUCCACCUGAAUCCCUUCCGUGUCAGUAUCUGGACGGGAUGGUCCACUGCUCUCCCAUCUUCCCUUGCUGUCUUGGGUCCCUCUUGACUGUCCAGGUCUUCAUGGCUUUUUCCAGUGAGUAGAACUGGUCCUACCCGGCUCUGCCCUGUGACCGUGUCCUCCCUGCCACGGUGCUCCAGGAACCACUCUUUGGCUUGCCCG
This 1005-nucleotide long non-coding RNA is filed under the name Felis catus (domestic cat). Its description in RNAcentral is "lncRNA (ENSFCAG00000049218.1)". The record is from RNAcentral. Lineage: Eukaryota; Metazoa; Chordata; Mammalia; Carnivora; Felidae.